CGGAAUGUGGUGCAGCUUGGUAGCAUGCAUGCUUCGGGAGCAUGAGGUCGGAGGUUCAAAUCCUCUCAUUCCGACCA
RNAcentral lists this transfer RNA (77 nucleotides) under Tissierellia bacterium. RNAcentral's name for it is "tRNA-Pro". It matches the Rfam family "tRNA". Rfam says of the family: Transfer RNA (tRNA) molecules are approximately 80 nucleotides in length. Their secondary structure includes four short double-helical elements and three loops (D, anti-codon, and T loops). The record is from RNAcentral. Lineage: Bacteria; Bacillati; Bacillota; Tissierellia.